GGAAGUCGCUGUGGAUGGAUCGUGUAAAUACGGUUUCCUGAACACGCUUAUGGACAUGUGUGUUUACAGACAAAAGUUUGAGGAUCACAGCUAUCCAGUUUUGGUUUCAGCCUUGUUCCCCUUGUACAAAGAUUUCUCUGAUUAGUUUAAUGAUAUAAUUAGGGCUGAGUCAGAGUCGGAACACCCCCCCAGUUAGUUGGUUUUUAGUCAAACAUUUUAGGGUUUUAGUCGACCAAGAAUAUCUUUGGUUGAUUACAGCCCUACAUUGAAUGCACUGUACAUGAUAAAAUCCCCAAAUUCUUUACACUUUUGCUGUCAGAGUCUCUUAUAACGACUCUUCUUAUAGGAUCUCUCUGUAAUUCUUUUUAUUAAAUUAGUAAAAUUAUGUAUCUGUUGCAAAUAAGACAAAAAGUUCCUCCAGGUGUUUUUCUAGUAAAACCUUUUUUAGUGUUUUAUUGUUCGUUUCAACAUCCUGUUGUCAAAUUUACAAUAAAUAACAAAGUUUUCCAGUUUUAACAGUUAAUUCUUUGUCUUUGCAGGUUUAAAUGAUUUGUAAACCAUCAAAAUCAGUUUUAUCAACAUUUUAAACACCAUUCCAGCUUUUUCAGAAUCAGGGUGGUGGUACAAAAACAUGGAAUAUGGUGUCAGUGUUAUUGCUUUCGACAAAAGCUGUUAAUGAAAAAUGUGUCUGUGUCUGUCGAAUUACCGUCUCUUGCAUGAAGGCUUUAGAAAGAAAUAAAAGAAUGUCUCCAGGCUUGUAAAAUUCACAUCCAUGACUUGCUGGGUUCUCGCCCAUUGUUGUUCCAAAUCACAUAUCACCCACAUGUCUGAGAAAACUCUGCCAGGGGUUCGGUUAGCAAACCGUACUGCUCAGGAUCCAAUGACUGACUUCAAAUCCCUUCUUUCCUUCUUUUGUAUGAACUGUUCGGCAUUAGUUGCUUUCGGCUGUUGAUUCUCUUAAGAAUCACAAUCCUGCCUGUUCUCCGCUCAUGUUCUUUGAUAACACCUCAGACUGAUGUUGAGCAUUAUGUAAAGAGAGAAAGAGAGAAAUCCUGUUGGCUGUGAAGGAGUCAUGGUUGGAAACACAUCUCACUGUGGUAUAUUUGAGCUCAGCCUUUGAAGUUAUAAGUCUGCUAAUGCUUCCUGUUGGACCGGAGCUUCGAGAGCUCAUUUUAAUUGCUCCCAGAGAAAGAGGUGAGUGGUUAAGGAGUAACAGAUUUUAUGUAAAGGGGAUUACAGUAAUCUGAAUACAAAAUAUUGGCAGCUGUGAUCUGUUAGGAACUGUUCGAAAUUCCUCUCAUCCCACCCGUCCUUGUAUCCUGUCCCACAGGCUGCUUUGAGUCUGUAUCCUUUAGAAAAAUAAUCAGAUUAUUUUAGUCAAAUUGUUUUUAACACAUUAUUUAAACAACUUUUUGCUCGGAUUGGAUGAAAAAAAAUCAAAACUAGGACAAAAAAGUAACAAAAAAAUUGCCCCAAAAAAGUCACAUAAACCCAACAGAAGUUCCUGCAGUUCAGACUUUACAGUCUUAAGAGGACUGAACAGCAGCUGUCAUAUUUCAGACACGGAGGGAGGGGUGUGGCACACUUUAUGGCGAUCCUUGAAAAAUGUCUUAUUAGAACAAAAAGAAAAGAACAGUCUUGAAAAAUUCAAAAGUCAAAUUAUAGCUCAGCACCAGCCCAGAGUCUGUUACAGGCUCAUAGUGUGGCAUUAUGGGAGUGAGUGACUGACGUACAUUCAUAGUCGUCAUCUUGGGUCCUCAUUUUUGUUUGAGUGUUUUACAUGACGACCAGAAGAAGGGGCUAUAAAAAGACGAGUGUCGUACACUUGAAAGGUAGAGAGCCGUAGGUUGAGCUUCCUGAUGGGCUAUUGACUUGUUUGAUGUAAACAUGGACAGGGCGCAGGAUUAGCCAUCCUAAAGGCGACCCAACUCUCAAGGGUUUGAUCAUAAAUACCGAACGGGCUUAAUAUUUAUGAUUCAAAGUUGGGGGGGGGGCACAAUUACCCUCAGAGAUCAGGGGACGAAAAAUCACACAGCAGAAUAAUUUGGCGAGAUCAUCUUUAGAGCCAUCCAAUAAUCAGGACUUUUGUCAAAAGGAAGAAUCAGACCCAAAACUGGCAUGAUUACCUUGUAAUGUGUAUCCGACUUGGGUCUCUUGUUAAUACGUUUGCCAGUUGUUUUGGUAUGUGAUGUAAUUUGUCCAAUAGUAUUAAGCUUGAAGGAGGAAUAUUGCCUCUUAGUUUGAAUGAAUUCCUACUUAAUGCUUGUAAACUGACAUGUCUGUAGUCUAAUGUGAUGGCCAAAUCAAGAUAUUUUUUAAUGUGGGUAAAAAUUCAUUUUGGUGGGUGUUAAUAAAAACUUCAUUUGUUCCCCUGGCAGUAAUUUCUACAUUUCCCAUAAAUACUGUGCCGAAACGCUGCGUAAUGAGGUUUAAUAUGCCGGUAUUUCCCGGCGUUCAACCAGCGCGAGAAACAAACAAAGUGAGAGCAGGGAGUUUCGUAAAAACAGCAGAGAUUAAGUUUAGCUAGAUUAGAACUAAACUAAAUGCAGCGAUGGUUGAACUUGGGACAGACGAGGAAGAGUGGAGGAGAUGAGGAUAUUGGUGACAGAGCGUGCAAAACGGAAAAAAAGGAAGUAUACCAUCAAAUGGCUGACGGGUCAUGAAUGGCUUGUGCAGUCAACAGCACUCAUAAUCUCUUAAUUUCAUUGGAAAAAAUGGUUUGUGGAAAUUCUGAUUGGCUGGUAACUUUAUUUCCCGCGAUAAGUGAUAAAAAAAAAAAGUUAAUUUAGAACCCUGGCGAUAACCCUGGCGAUAACCCUAGCUCAACGUAACUUUGCAUGUAAGCGUACAAACUUUUCUGUGGGCUUAUUUUCAGAAGAUUGAUUAAAAAAAUGGUGUUGUCUUUUUUUGUCACUAGUUUGACUUGCAUGUGUGCAUUUGUAGCUUUGACCCACAUUUAACCUAAUCAGCAAGCUUGUCUUAAUUUUCACAUUCAGGCUUUUGCUCAAUGGUAAAUUCUGUAAAUGUUUACAGCAGAUAAAUGGAAUUUGUGAUAUUUGACAAACAGGCUGGCCAUAUCCAGGAAAAUUAACAAAAAAACACAAUGCAGUACAUACAAGACAAUUAUAUAUGUGCCUUUUUGGUUUCCAUUGAAUCUGGAUAUGAUCCAAGUCCUAGUACUAGUUGGAGACCUGGUGGUUAGAGACCCCCACUGCAGGCGAAUGAAUGUCAAAUCAAAAACAAGGGUGAAAAAUAACUCCAAGUCCGAGUAAUUAACGCUUUUGUUUGGCGGUAUUAGAAUCCUAUUCCUCCAUCUGCAUCAAGUCUACUGUUUAUCGAACAUUAAAACGAAUCAAUAAUACAAUCAAAGCAUCUGGAGUGGUCAGAGAUCCCAGCAUUAGAAGCUUUUAUGGAAAUACAUAGAAUGACAAGCAGAAAAUCAAUAAGUGCACACAUGCACUCACCACAGGGGGUCAUUAGGAACAUCUGAGCCGAAUUCCCUCACAUACAUCAAGCGUGCUGAAACACAAUAGACCUUAAAUCCUGUUUUUCAAUGGCUGACUUGACAUGGGGCAGCUUAUUGCCAUUGUGUUGACACAAAUUUGCUUCAACAAUAGUGCAAAGGGGAGAUCAAAUGUGCCCCUUGACUAAUCAUUCGUUAUCCUGCUAGCUUAAUGACCUGUGUAACGUGACAUUAGGACCAUGAACAGUGAGGAUGUGGAGUACUCUUAAUCGCAUUUUCAGCCGGACACGAGAGUGGACAUCAAGAGGCUGCAGCUGGAGUAGAGAAAAGGCGUGAUAGUCGUCGUAUCCGAAUAAAAGCUGAUACUGCUUUUAUCAUUUUACUCUUUUUAUUAAUCAAGAUGAAGAAGGUUGUGUUUUAUAGAGAGUACAGCAUGAGCCACAGUUACAGAAAACAGCCAAACUCCAGGACUCCAUCUUUGCAUGCAGCAUCUGUUGGACUUUAAUUGGCAGUUUGGGCAUGUCAGCUCACUCCCAAGCUCGAUUUGCAAUUGUUUGUAGUCUGAACAAAUCAAUUCAUGUUGUGUUUGUUUUGUCAAGACUAACCCAGAAAAAAAAAAAAAGAAAAGAAAAAAAAAAGCGCUGGACCAAUUUGAAAGUGCCAGUUAGUCCGGGAAUGUUGUUGUUGAUUUUCAUUUUCCAGGGGGAUGCUAUCAAAAUAUUUUGACCAAAUCUCUACAGAACAAGCGGCAACUUUGGUGUUGAAAGAUAAAGCUGAUGGUUCAAAAAGUGCAGUUUUUCAGCUGUCCACAAGGGGAUAGAAAGAAUGAAUGUCCACAUUAAGAUGCACAUUUUUGAA
Molecule: long non-coding RNA, 4321 nt
Filed under: Xyrichtys novacula (pearly razorfish)
Lineage: Eukaryota; Metazoa; Chordata; Actinopteri; Labriformes; Labridae
Source: RNAcentral